Maylandia zebra (zebra mbuna) is the source of this 686-nucleotide non-coding RNA. Lineage: Eukaryota; Metazoa; Chordata; Actinopteri; Cichliformes; Cichlidae. The record is from RefSeq and is a predicted model, not a curated record.
UCCACAGCAGCUGCAGCCAGAAGCUGUUUCUACAGGAUCCUGAUGGACACUCAAAGCUUUUAGAAAAUGUCCUCAUUAGUUGUUUGCAGCAGAAUAUCAACCGAUGUGAACCAAAACAACAAAAGUGCUCUGCACAAGUGGUGUGUGAGACUACAGAUUAAAACUUAAACUCCAGCCUGAUGCGUUUCUGAGGUUCCUGACUCUGACCGUCCCUCAAACGCCUCUCUGGGCGUUUCCUUCCGUCGCUUUUACUUUCGUGAAUGUUGUGGCGCAGUUGAUCGUCUCCAUGUUAAGACUAACUCCACCCUGACAUCAAGAAGAUGGAGGAAGAGGUUGGAGCAGGAUCUGCAGCAUCCAGCUGUGUGUCUGUGAGGAGUGACUGCUCCAAAGAUCAACCUCCAGACUUCAGUAAUGAACCUGCAGCAACAAUGAUCAAUAAGAGGCCAGAAUCUCCUGGACCUGAACCCAGCUGUGUUUCCUUAAAGAGCAACGACUCGAAGGAUAUCGGUAUAAACUUUAAAGGCUGUUCUUCUGCUGCUGAGAGAGGUCAGAGGUCACAGUCUGCAGGAUCCAGCUGUCCGUCGGUGAGGAGUGAAUGGUCCAAAGAUCACCCUCCAGACUUCAGUGCUGAACCAACGAGGUCAGAGACCUGUGAUGACUCCUUUACAUGUUUGUGUUUUCCUGGA